UCCUUUCUCUAUAUAUUUCAGUCCUUCUACGCUCUCUCUCAAUUCUCUCUUUCCCAGGGCAUGGAGGGAUAUCAACAUCUCAUUCUUGAUGACAGCACCACUGUACAUUCCACAACUGGAGUGAUUUCACAUAUUUUCAGGGCACAAGACUGGGAUUUAAGGAGAGCCAUAGAGAGAGGGAGAGGAAGAGAUAGAGAGAGAGAGAAAGUAAGCCCACCCCUAUUCCCCGUCUUAUCGACGGCCAACCGGCGUACAUGGUGAGGCGCCUCCUGAAGGUUCAACCGCAGGGCAGGGGAUUCCAGUACCUCGUUGACUGGGAGGGUUACGGCCUGGGGGAGAGGUGCUGGGUCCCCGCUAGGGACAUCCUGGACCCAGGCCUCAUCGCUGAGUUCCAACGCCGGCACCCCGGUCAACCAGGUAUGCGUCCAGAUCGUUUUGUUUCGUGAAGCCUACCAGCAUUUUGGCCCAUACUCCGUUCUGCCUGCCCUGACCCCGAGCCUGCCAGUCAUUCUGUACCUUCUCACACCACCCUGGAUUACUGACCUCUGCCUUCCCUGACCCUAAGCCUGCCUGCCGUUCUGUGUCUUUCGGACUCUGCUCUGGACUACUGACCUCUGCCUGCCCUUGACCUGUUGUUUGCCUGCCCCCCUGUAUUUGUAAAAAACUUUUGUUACUUCAAAACUGUCUGCAUUUGGGUCUUCUCCUAAGCCUUGACAGCAACAACAACAAGAAAUAGUUACACAAAGUAAAUGGCUCAGUAGAAUAGAUGACAUUAUUUAACUUAAGUAUAAUACAGGAUGGUACAAUUUAUAUUCCAAUAUUAAGAGUUGGUGUUGUGCAAAGAAACACAGUUGUGGUUGAACAGACUGUACAGCAGAGAGCUGAGGACACACCCCAGUGAUACCUUGUGUUGAGAGUCAGUGUGCAAGAGUUGUUGUUGCCAAUCAUCACAGCCUGUGGUCUGUCAAUCAUGAUGUCCAAGAUCCAGUUGCAUAGGGUGGUGUCCAGAUCCAGGGCUCUGGGUUUAGAAGGACAAUAUUGUUGAAUGCUGAACUGUAGUCAAUGAAUAGCAUUCUAACAUAGGUGUAGUCACAACUUCCGCUGAAGUUGUUCCCUCUCCAUGUUCGUGCAGUGUUCGAUGUCACCGACCUUCUAGCCAUCGCUGAUCCAUUUUUCAUUUUCCAUUGGUUUUGUCUUGUCUUCCAUCACACCUGGUUCCAAUCCCAUCAAUUACAUGUUGAUUAUUUAACUUCUUGGUGACAGGGGGGCAGUAUUGAGUAGCUUGGUUGAAUAAGGUUCCCAGAGUAAACUGCCUGCUACUCUGUCCCAGAUGCUAAUAUAUGCAUGUCAUUAGUAGUAUUGGAUAGAAAACACUCUGAAGUUUCUACAACUGUUUGAAUGAUGUCUGUGAGUAUAACAUAACUCAUAUGGCAGGCGAAAAACUGAGAAAAUCCAACCAGGAAGUGGGAAAUCUGAGGUUUGUAGUUUUUCAACUCUUUGCCAUUCCAAUAUACAGUGUAAAUGGGGUCAUGUUCCCAAGGCUUCCACUAGAAGUCAACAGUCUUUAGAACGUUGUUUCAGGCUUCUAAUGUUAAGUGGGGAGCGAAUGAGAGGGGAUUGAAUCAGGUGUCUGGCAGAGUGCCACAGGCUCUGAGGCGGGUCAUGAAAGAUGUUAGCUCUUGUUCCAUUGCUUUUCUACAGACAGAGGAAUUCUCCGGUUGGAACAUUAUUGAACAUUUAUGAUAAAAACAUCCUAAAGAUUGUUUUUAUACUUAGUUUGACAAGUUUCUUCGGGCUGUAAUAUAACUUUUUGAACUUUUUGUCCAACGUUCGGCUGGAACUGAACUCACGUUUGGACUAGUUUACCAAACGCGCUAACAAAAGAAGCUAUUUGGACAUAAAUGAUGAACUUUAUCGAACAAAUCAAACAUUUAUUGUGGAACUGGGAUACCUGGGAGUGCAUUCUGAUAAAGAUCAUCAAAGGUAAAUGAAUAUUUAUAAUGCUAUUUCUGACUAAUGUUGACUACACAGUAUGGUGGAUAUCUUUUUGGCUGCUUUGUUGUCUGAACGCCGUACUCGGAUUAUUGCAUGGUUUGCUUUUUCCUUACAUUUAAAAUAAAACAUGACACAGCGGUUGAGUUAAGGAGAAGUACAUCUCUAAUUCCAUGUAUAACACUUAUUUUCAUCAACAUUUAUGAUGAGUAUUUCUGUGAAUUGAUGUGGCUCUCUGCACAAUCACCGCAUGUUUUAGAACUACUGAACGUAACGCGGCAAUGUAAAAUUUGAUUAUUUGAUAUAAAUAUGCACUUUAUCGAACAAAACACACAUGUAUUGUAUAACAUGAAGUCCUAUGAGUGUCAUCUGAUGAAGAUCAUCAAAGGUUAGUGAUUAAUUUAAUCUCUAUUUGUGCCUUUUGGUGGAGUUGGUGGUGACCGAACAUAAUUGUUUGUGGUGCUUUCGCUGUAAAGCAAUUUUGAAAUCAGACACUGUGUCUGGAUUAACGAGAAUUUUAUCUUUAAAAUUUUGUAAAAUACUUGUAUGCUUGAGGAAUUUUGAUUAUGAGAAUUUUGUUGUUUUGAAUUUGGCGCCCUGCACUUUCACUGGCUGUUGGCGAGGUGGGACGCUACCGUCCCACAUAUGCCAGAGAGGUUAACCCUCUGUUUCCCCUCAUGUCCUUGUCGGUGAUUGUUUAUUGUUAAGUGUAUGUCUACGUCUGUACUGGUGCGCGUCGGGUUAUGUUACCCAUUUGGGUUUUUGUAAAUAAACUGCGCCGUUGGAAACACA
Molecule: long non-coding RNA, 2784 nt
Organism: Oncorhynchus masou masou (cherry salmon)
Lineage: Eukaryota; Metazoa; Chordata; Actinopteri; Salmoniformes; Salmonidae
Exons: 3
Source: RefSeq, a predicted model, not a curated record